Molecule: ribosomal RNA, 381 nt
Filed under: uncultured eukaryote
Lineage: Eukaryota
Description: partial 18S ribosomal RNA
Rfam family: Eukaryotic small subunit ribosomal RNA
Source: RNAcentral
CAAUAGCGUAUAUUAAAGCUGUUGCGGUUAAAAAGCUCGUAGUUGGAUUUCUGUCAAGGACAACCGGUCCGCCCUCCGGGUGAGCACAUAGUUUGGUCUUGACAUCUUGCUGGAAGCUGUUGCUGCACUUGGCUGUGUGGCGCAGUGUUCAGCACUUUCACUUUGAGGAAAUUGGAGUGUUUCAAGCAGGCACAUGCCUUUGGACACAGUAGCAUGGAAUAAUUAGAUUGGGCUUUUGCUCCAAUUUGUCGGUUUCUGGAGCUGAGGUGAGUAUUAAUGGGGAUUGUUGGGGGCAUCCGAAUUUAGCCGUCAGAGGUGAAAUUCUUGGAUCUGCUAAAGACGGACAACUGCGAAAGCGUUUGCCCAGGAUGUUUUCAUUGA